ACUCAAACCAGCUGUAUUAAGGAAGGUGCAAGCUUUUGGGAUUUCUGUUUGGAUUUAGUUUAGGUUCAAAAGAGCACGCACAGAUCCUGAGUGUUGUCAAGCACCCGUGACUGGGAAACGGAGGCGUCCGAUCCGUAUUGGAGUCAAUUCGCCACUUAAUUGAACACAGCCUCGAAGGGAAGGGCCAUAUUUGUGGGCCUGUCUAACAAUUAAGAGUGACCACAUGGAAUGGGGGAUGAAAGGGUUAAAGAAGAACAAAUAUUGAACACAGCUUUUCUAUGAACAAACUGCAGGCAGCUGCUGCUUUGCAAGGGACACUGACGCUAGAGAGGAAGCAGUGCUUUGAGUUUGCCAUUCUGGCAAUGUCCAAAUGUGGAAGACUGGAUAACAGGGAAGCAGUUGAUUGAGAAUAAUGGUUCUGUUUUGGAGGUUGAUGGAAGAUGCCCUUUGGCCAGGAAAACAGCUCAUGCUUUUAGAGGAGGAUAAUUGCCAGAAGGCCUCUCUGAAUAAAAAAAAAUCCUGACCUCACAGCCUUUGCGCUUACUUGGGUUAGAAUGCCACAGUGAACAUUGCCCCUUGUCAUCACGUAGAGGUGCUCACAGGUAAAGCAACACAAGGAGCAUAUAGGAUCACCUGCUGGAUCUUGUUUUUAACACCAGGGAGGAAAAUGGUGUCUUGGGUAAUGAACAUGCCUCAAGACUGAGCUGGCCAUCUUCAGUGUCAUCCAAACCCUCAGUGGCCCCUGAAAAACCCUUUGAAAAGAUUCAGCACGUUGCCAUGGAGAACAUCCCACUGAAGGAAUGUAUAGAAGUAGCAGGGUUAACUGAGUGCCUUCCAUCUUCCCUCCAAGGGAUCUGCAAUGAGAUGGGAGAAGGCAACAGGCUGUGUGGGAACCACUGAAGCUGGGAUGGCAGGGAAAGAACAUCUUAGGCUAACUCUUCAAGCCUUGCUGUCACAUUUGCUUUUGAGUCUAUGGUGUCAGCUGCCUACCAGUUGCUUUCAUCUCUAGAAAUCUGUGACUUGCAGUAUGACAAGAACAAAAGGUGACAAUACAAAGGACAAAGGGCAAGGAAUACAGACGGAGAAGCCGCUUAGAGUCUAGGAUGGCAGAGGUUCUCUUGAUCAUUUCAUUUUUGAGCGCUUGUAGAGCUUUGGUGUACCAGAGGUGCUUGAACAGCUUACCACACCACAGAUGAAUGGCCUUUGGAUUUCUCCUAAGAAAAUGUGGCUACCUGAAAUUCAACUCCAUUUUCUGGUCUUCAAUAUUUCUUUUGUGUUCAGUUUGCCAGCUGAGGAGAAGUGGCUAAGCAUAGCCUGUUACUGAUGCUAAAGCCCAAGUUCUGAACCUAACAACUCCAGCAACAUGAUCCUGUUUCAAGAGACAAAAAAGUGACUAAUGAAAGAAAACAAUUGAUGUGCUAUGUAGAGUUUAAAAGAAGGUAAAGAGAAUAAAUUAAAAGCAACAAC
This 1467-nucleotide long non-coding RNA is filed under the name Mus musculus (house mouse). RNAcentral's name for it is "predicted gene 14461". Lineage: Eukaryota; Metazoa; Chordata; Mammalia; Rodentia; Muridae. The record is from RNAcentral.